AGUGAACGCUGGCGGUAGGCCUAACACAUGCAAGUCGAACGGCAGCACAGUAAGAGCUUGCUCUUACGGGUGGCGAGUGGCGGACGGGUGAGGAAUACAUCGGAAUCUACUUUUUCGUGGGGGAUAACGUAGGGAAACUUACGCUAAUACCGCAUACGACCUACGGGUGAAAGCAGGGGAUCUUCGGAACUUGCGCGAUUGAAUGAGCCGAUGGCGGAUUAGCUAGUUGGCGGGGUAAAGGCCCAUCAAGGCGACGAUCCGUAGCUGGUCUGAGAGGAUGAUCAGCCACACUGGAACUGAGACACGGUCCAGACUCCUACGGGAGGCAGCAGUGGGGAAUAUUGGACAAUGGGCGCAAGCCUGAUCCAGCCAUACCGCGUGGGUGAAGAAGGCCUUCGGGUUGUAAAGCCCUUUUGUUGGGAAAGAAAAGCAGCAGGUUAAUACCCCGCUGUUCUGACGGUACCCAAAGAAUAAGCACCGGCUAACUUCGUG
Molecule: ribosomal RNA, 492 nt
Filed under: uncultured bacterium
Lineage: Bacteria
Description: partial 16S ribosomal RNA
Rfam family: Bacterial small subunit ribosomal RNA
Source: RNAcentral